GCGACUGGAAGUACGGAUCCGGCUGCGGAAGUGAUUGUGCAUGUGUACAAGCUAACUCAGCAUCUUGUAACAAUGUGAACGGUGCAUGUACAUGUAGUGCAGGUUACAUUGGGACGAACUGUGAAAAUGCAUGUAGCGCCUGGAAGUAUGGUGAUGGUUGUAGCAGUGACUGUACAUGCGUACAGGCUAACACCGCCAGCUGUAUUAAUGAAAACGGGCAAUGUUUGUGUAACCCUGGAUACUCCGGAAUUACUUGUGACACCGCGUGCAGUGAGUGGAAAUAUGGAUCUGGUUGUGUCAGUGAUUGCACGUGUAUUCAGGCCAACACGGCGACCUGUAGUAGUAUCGACGGAGAGUGUGCAUGCAACUCUGGUUAUUUUGGGACAAACUGUG
This is a long non-coding RNA of Pecten maximus, 393 nucleotides long. RefSeq lists it as uncharacterized. The record is from RefSeq and is a predicted model, not a curated record. The transcript has 3 exons. Lineage: Eukaryota; Metazoa; Mollusca; Bivalvia; Pectinida; Pectinidae.